UUCUCCUCUCUCCCUACCGUCUGCCUUCUCUCUCUCAUUCUCACAUUUGGAGAAAAAUCCCCAAAUCUAACCAUAACUCCUCCUUCUUUGCGAAAAGAAAAACAACCAUAACUCCUCCUUCCACCUCGGUGAAUUCACGGAGCCGCCGCUCUCAUCGCGUCUCCCGGAGGCGACCGUCGUCGCCGACGCCGCCUUCUCUCUACCGUCGGCUUACUCUCUCCUCCCUUUCCUUCCUAAAACGAAUGGAAGACUCUCCAAUUGGGGAACGUCGAACCCUAGGUGGGAGUCGAACGAGCGCCGUCGCGUUUCCCCCUCUCCGGCGAGUCGAUCUCUGGCCGUCGUUCACUGCCAUCCCUAGCCGAUGCCGCGGCUGUGAGGCCGUCUUCCUCGCCGUCCCGGUGCCAUCGGAGCAGGAAAGAGGAGCAUCGCCGUCGAGCUUGACCUCUGACCACGCUGUCUUCUUCAGCACAGCAUGCCCAGCUGCCUCAUGGCAGCUUUCGUACUCCGUCGUCCCUCGAUCUCACUCGAAGCUAAGUUCCCUAAUCUUUUGUCGUUUGGUGUAGAAUUUCCUUAUCCCUAAAUUAUGCUAUUUUUAGGAUGUCUAAGUUGUAGGUUCAGUCGGGAAAAUUCGACCGUUUGAGCUCGAUUGCAGUGAUUUUACUAUACGCCUACAUUCGGGUUAUGAUUUAGCAUGCCUUCAACAAGAUUUAGGCGAUGGCUUGUGAGGAUAGUAUCAUAUGGUGUUGCUACUGUUUUACUUGUUCAUCUAGUGUUAUUAUCAUGCUUAAGUUCUGAAACGAUGGGGUCUUUGCAUGCUUGAGAUUUACAUGAUGAUAUGAUACUUAAAUUGAGCUUGAAACGGAGGUGGGGUUACCUUCUCUUGCACUGUUUCUGCUCCCCACUCCUAGCUUCAAUCUCUCUCACUCUCCAACUUGAUAACGUGCUUGCUGAGUAUGUUGUGGUAGAAGGGGUGAGGCUAAGGGGACUAUACUAUAUAUAUAAGGGUUUGUGUAACUGAAAGCCUGCAAGGCUGGUUGUUUGUGCAGAAAAAGGGUCCCUAGGUUGAUUGUUCAUUGGCUGAUUGCAAUAAGGCAGGGCAUGUACUCGUGAGAAAUAAAUGCAAUUCCAUCCUCAUUUGUUACUCUACUGCAGUGGCCUCAGUCUCUCUGUGUCUUGCAACGUUCUCAUUGAGUUUUUAUGCGGCUUUUUGCAGGUGUACAACUCUGCAAUGUGGUUAACUGAUCCCUGCGGCUGGAUCUCUGCAGAGCUGCUGUGGCUGUGGAUUUUCCUUGGCUUGUAGCAGCUGGGUAUGGACUGUGGAGCGCAGGAAAUGCAGCCCUCCAUACUCCUAAAUUUGGUAACUUUUGGUCUUCAUCAAGGAAAGAGGGCUGAUCACAUCCGGCUGUCAACUGGAUGCCCCGGGCCCAACGGCCGUCGACAAUCGGGCCGAAAACCGGGCCUAAGGAAGGGCCGAAGCUUAGCAAAUUCUAAAUUGUAGUAGGGUAGUGUUUUUCCAAGCUUUCUUUUCCUUCAACAUGUACGAAACGUUUUAUAAAGUUAGAAUGUAUUAUUUUUCCUUCAUUUUCAUUGUCACCCAUUUGUAAGUUAAGACAUAGUUCGUAAAGUAACAUGUAUUUUAUUUACUUAAGGAAUAAACGGACACAUUCCCAUUUUUA
Molecule: long non-coding RNA, 1676 nt
Organism: Salvia splendens (bonfire salvia)
Lineage: Eukaryota; Viridiplantae; Streptophyta; Magnoliopsida; Lamiales; Lamiaceae
Exons: 2
Source: RefSeq, a predicted model, not a curated record